Molecule: RNase P RNA, 353 nt
Filed under: chicken gut metagenome
Description: Bacterial RNase P class A
Rfam family: Bacterial RNase P class A
About the family: Ribonuclease P (RNase P) is a ubiquitous endoribonuclease, found in archaea, bacteria and eukarya as well as chloroplasts and mitochondria. Its best characterised activity is the generation of mature 5'-ends of tRNAs by cleaving the 5'-leader elements of precursor-tRNAs.
Source: RNAcentral
UAAGCGGAACAGCCGCCUGCGCAGUGUAAGGCCGCGUGGGAGGAAAGUCCGGGCUUCACAGAGCAGGAUAGCGGAUAACGUCCGCCAAAGGCGACUUUAGGACAAGUGCAACAGAAAUAUACCGCCUCGGCCCUGUGCCGGGGUAAGGGUGGAAAAGCGAGGUAAGAGCUCACUGAACCCAUUGGUAACAAUGGGCUCCUGUAAACUCUAUCCGAAGCAACAUCAAGCGGGAACAGCGCAUUGCGCAGGGCUUGCUCGGCCCGUUCCCCAAAAGGGUGGCUUGAGGCGCGCGGCGACGCGCGACCCAGACAGAUGGCUGUUUUUUAACAGAACCCGGCUUACAGGCUUGCUUG